UGUUGCAAGCUAUGGCAGAAGCAUUCAUGUCGUGACCAUGUCAGAUUCCAACAAAUCUGCAAAUUCUGCU
RNAcentral lists this long non-coding RNA (70 nucleotides) under Crocodylus porosus (Australian saltwater crocodile). RNAcentral describes it as "Mammalian CPEB3 ribozyme (ENSCPRG00005011360.1)". It matches the Rfam family "Mammalian CPEB3 ribozyme". Rfam says of the family: The mammalian CPEB3 ribozyme is a self cleaving RNA located in the second intron of the CPEB3 gene which belongs to a family of genes regulating messenger RNA polyadenylation. The record is from Rfam by way of RNAcentral. Lineage: Eukaryota; Metazoa; Chordata; Crocodylia; Crocodylidae.